UAGUUCAACGGCCGCGGUACCCUAACCGUGCGAAGGUAGCGUAAUCACUUGUCUUCUAAAUAGAGACUAGUAUGAAAGGCAUCACGAGAAUUUAACUGUCUCCUUUUUCCAAUCAGUGAAACUAAUCUUCCCGUGAAGAAGCGGGAAUCCAAAAAUAAGACGAGAAGACCCUAUGGAGCUUUAAACACUAACCACCUGCCCAAUCUUAUAAAAACCCCGGUUCCUAAACCAACGCAUCAUGACUACGUGUUUUUGAUUGGGGCGACCACGGAAAAUAAUCAAACCUCCGUAAUGAAAACCUACAAGCCACAGCUUUAAGUAUCAACAAAUUGACAUCCAUUGACCCAAUAUAUUGACUAAUGAACCAAGUUACCCUAGGGAUAACAGCGCAAUCCACUUCAAGAGCUCCUAUCGACAAGUGGGCUUACGACCUCGAUGUUGGAUCGGGGUAUCCAAGUGGUGCAGCCACUACUAACGGUUCGUUUG
Molecule: ribosomal RNA, 486 nt
Filed under: Pristimantis chiastonotus (Brownberg robber frog)
Lineage: Eukaryota; Metazoa; Chordata; Amphibia; Anura; Strabomantidae
Description: partial small subunit ribosomal RNA
Rfam family: Bacterial large subunit ribosomal RNA
Source: RNAcentral